Molecule: ribosomal RNA, 460 nt
Filed under: uncultured bacterium
Lineage: Bacteria
Description: partial 16S ribosomal RNA
Rfam family: Bacterial small subunit ribosomal RNA
Source: RNAcentral
CCUACGGGUGGCAGCAGUGAGGAAUAUUGGUCAAUGGACGAGAGUCUGAACCAGCCAAGUCGCGUGAAGGAUGACUGCCCUAUGGGUUGUAAACUUCUUUUAUAUGGGAAUAAAACGUUCCACGUGUGGGAUUUUGUAUGUACCAUAUGAAUAAGGAUCGGCUAACUCCGUGCCAGCAGCCGCGGUAAUACGGAGGAUCCGAGCGUUAUCCGGAGUUAUUGGGUUUAAAGGGAGCGUAGGUGGAUUGUUAAGUCAGUUGUGAAAGUUUGCGGCUCAACCGUAAAAGUGCAGUUGAGACUGGCAGUCUUGAGUACAGGAGAGGUGGGCGGAAUUCGUGGUGUAGCGGUGAAAUGCUUAGAUAUCACGAAGAACUCCGAUUGCGAAGGCAGUUCACUGGACUGCAACUGACACUGAGGCUCGAAAGUGUGGGUAUCAAACAGGAUUAGAUACCCUUGUAGUC